RNAcentral lists this ribosomal RNA (1482 nucleotides) under metagenome. Its description in RNAcentral is "bacterial SSU rRNA". It matches the Rfam family "Bacterial small subunit ribosomal RNA". The record is from RNAcentral.
AGAGUUUGAUCCUGGCUCAGGAUGAACGCUAGCGGCAGGCCUAACACAUGCAAGUCGAGGGGUAACGGGGGAGCUUGCUCCCGCCGACGACCGGCGCACGGGUGAGUAACGCGUAUGCAACCUACCCUGUACAGGGGGAUAGCCCAGGGAAGCUUGGAUUAAUACCCUAUAGUGAAUAUGAGCGGCAUCGCUUUAAUUCUAAAGAUUCAUCGGUACAGGAUGGGCAUGCGUGACAUUAGGUAGUUGGUAAAGUAACGGCUUACCAAGCCCACGAUGUCUACGGGGUCUAAAAGGAUGGUCCCGCACACUGGUACUGAGACACGGACCAGACUCCUACGGGAGGCAGCAGUGAGGAAUAUUGGUCAAUGGGGGCAACCCUGAACCAGCCAUGCCGCGUGGAGGAUGACUGCCCUACGGGUUGUAAACUCCUUUUGUUCGGGAAUAAACGGCCCCACGUGUGGGGCUUUGCAUGUACCGUUCGAAUAAGCACCGGCUAACUCCGUGCCAGCAGCCGCGGUAAUACGGAGGGUGCGAGCGUUAUCCGGAUUUAUUAGGUUUAAAGGGUACGUAGGCGGGCAUUUAAGUCAGUGGUGAAAUCCCGGGGCUCAACUCCGGAACUGCCAUUGAUACUGAAUGUCUUGAGUACGGUUGAGGCAGGCGGAAUGUGUAAUGUAGCGGUGAAAUGCAUAGAUAUUACACAGAACACCGAUUGCGAAGGCAGCCUGCCAAGCCGUCACUGACGCUGAUGUACGAAAGCGCGGGUAGCGAACAGGAUUAGAUACCCUGGUAGUCCGCGCCGUAAACGAUGUUCACUGGCUGUGCGCGACACAAUGUGCGCGGCUGAGCGAAAGCAUUAAGUGAACCACCUGGGGAGUACGUCGGCAACGAUGAAACUCAAAGGAAUUGACGGGGGCCCGCACAAGCGGAGGAACAUGUGGUUUAAUUCGAUGAUACGCGAGGAACCUUACCUGGGCUUAAAUGUAGGUUGCAUGGAGCGGAAACGUUCCUUCCCCACGGGGCCACCUACAAGGUGCUGCAUGGCUGUCGUCAGCUCGUGCCGUGAGGUGUCGGGUUAAGUCCCAUAACGAGCGCAACCCCUAUCGUUAGUUGCUAACAGGUCAAGCUGAGGACUCUAGCGAGACUGCCACCGUAAGGUGCGAGGAAGGUGGGGAUGACGUCAAGUCAGCACGGCCCUUACGUCCAGGGCUACACACGUGUUACAAUGGCCGGUACAAAGGGCAGCCACCUGGCAACAGGGCGCCAAUCCUUAAAGCCGGUCUCAGUUCGGAUCGGAGUCUGCAACCCGACUCCGUGAAGCUGGAUUCGCUAGUAAUCGCGCAUCAGCCAUGGCGCGGUGAAUACGUUCCCGGGCCUUGUACACACCGCCCGUCAAGCCAUGGAAGCUGGGGGUACCUGAAGUCCGUAACCGCAAGGAUCGGCCUAGGGUAAGACCGGUAACUGGGGCUAAGUCGGAACAAGGUA